Molecule: long non-coding RNA, 1117 nt
Organism: Medicago truncatula (barrel medic)
Lineage: Eukaryota; Viridiplantae; Streptophyta; Magnoliopsida; Fabales; Fabaceae
Exons: 3
Source: RefSeq, a predicted model, not a curated record
UGACCAAAAAAACUCUGUUUGGUAACACUUUUUCACUAUGAGCUUAUAGCUUAUUUCAUAAGCUUAUAAGCUAUUUUUCAGAAGCUAUUCCAAGUAGCUAUUCUAACGGUGGUGCAGCCGAUAUGCAUCUUUGUGGAUGGAUGUAUGAGGUCCGGUUGUUGAAUAUGCUAGGUCUAAAUUUUCAUCCUCUUUGGUGAUGGAAUAAAUGGGGUUGUGAAUUUCUGAUUUAUAAAGUUUAUACCCACUAGGCGCUGGAAGGAGACAUAUGGGAAGAAAUAAGAUUCCAAACGAAGGUUCUAAUGAAGGUCCACACAGAUAUAGUUACUUGAAUCUGAAGAGAAAAAGAACACAGAUAUAUUGAUAAAUAUCAUAAUUUUUUUCUGGCCUAAAAUAUAGGGAAAUUUUCCAUGUUAUUCAUUUCUUGAUUUCUGAUUAUUUUUGUGCUUAUAUGUUACGUGUGGAUUAUUCUUUUUCUUUUGGAAGUUGGUGUACCUUUACAGUUGAUUGAGCAACCUAUUGCACAAACAGCUCCAUCUUAUGUCAUUUUCUCUUUUUUUUUUUUUUUUUUUUUUUACCUUAGUCAUCAAAAGAAGGGAUUCAUUUUACAAAUGAAUUAGAUUUUGAAGCUAUAUCCUCCUCUUUGUCUUCAUGUCCUUUUGAUAAGGAGAGAGUGAAGAAUAUGAUGCUUUUGAAAUGAAUAAAAUUGAAAAGUAACACCAUUCUCUAAGUAGUAUGACUACCUAUUCUAGGCAUAACCUUGAUGAAUCACUAAAAUAUUAUGAAUUACUAAAAAAUUGUAUCCUGAUCAAAGUGGUUAUAAAUUCAUUGGAACCGAUCAAACUUUGAUUUUAAGGAGUUUGAUUAGUUAUGCAUUUGUCCAAUUUGUUCUUGCCAGUAUUCUUCUCAAAUCAAGCCAUCUUGAUUUGCAUUGAAAACUAAAGAACCGUGUAUUGUUUGCUUCUGUUGAUUUUCAAUAUUUGCUUUGUGGUGCAAUAAGCUAACUCGCAUUGUAUGAUCUAUCCUUUCUAUAAGUUAUUGAUUUCAUACUUUCUGAAAUUUUUACCUCAUCAAAUUAUAUGAUAGCAAUUUUUUUUUCUUGAAUUGACUUUGGUAGCAU